GGGAGGGUUCAAAAAGAGGCACUUUGAGGACUAUUUUACAUGCAGAGUAGCCACUUUGUUCUAUCUUACCCAGCACUGCUGCAAUUCGUGAUCAUAGAAGUGCAAAAUGGUAACCAUUUCAACAAGACGUCUAUAAAAAGCUACAACACUAGGAAUGAAAAAAGCCGCGGCGGGUUAUUGGUACUUGGAUGGGAGCCCUCCCGGGAGAACUGAGAAGAUUCAAGAAUUGGUCCUGAAGAUUCAGUAGCUGGCAUGCUGAUUUCUAAGACAAUGAUUUGUGCUUCAGCCCUGGAUGAACCUGGUGAAUUACUGGGUUUUGCUGACCUCCCAAUCUAUUAACGAGAAUUCCCUAUAUAUCUGUACAAUUUUGAAUGCUAUUCUCCCGUAGGGUGAAUUCCAUUAAAAAAUACUGAGUUCCUGGAAAAACUGACAAUCCACUCCUAUAAUAAAGGUGAAAAUUAAGGCUCCAGGCCUGUAGUCCAAAAACAAAGGCUUAUUACAAUGAAUACCAUGUAAUGAUAUCUUACAUUAACUUUAAAAUAAAUAAUAUUGGGAUAGUCCACCUCAGUUUGUCUCCUGCCAUGGGACAUCUGAUCAGCAUGGCCAGACCUACUGAUUGUUCCAUGGUGUAGUCUCAAGAAGAAGAGACGGGCCCUCUUUCAAGAGCCUGUGACUGGAAUGGUCCCUCCCUUAAGAUAUAUCCAUCAGUGACAAGGUUAUUUCUUUUUUAGUUCACAUUCUGUGUGGUUUUUUGAUUGUUUUUUUUUUUUGCACUGGGAUAGGAUGGAUUAGUAGAAGAUUGGUUUUAAUAGGCUUUUUUCUAUUAGUUUUGUUACCUCAUUUGUUGAAAGGAUUCUCAAUUUUCUUGUAUAUGGUGUUGGGUAUGUGAUAGGAGAGUGAAAUCAUCUGCAAAGUCCAGGUCUUCAAGAGAUGAGAAUGGUGUCUAUUUAAUGCCUUUUGGCAUGUCUUCUGUUGUACGCUGCAUUACCCAGUCGAUUGAAGAGGAAUAUCCUUUAAAAUAUACUGUUUUUAAUGUUGUUUUCUUUUUGUGACACAC
This is a long non-coding RNA of Mauremys reevesii (Reeves's turtle), 1057 nucleotides long. RefSeq lists it as uncharacterized. Lineage: Eukaryota; Metazoa; Chordata; Testudines; Geoemydidae. The transcript is spliced from 3 exons. The record is from RefSeq and is a predicted model, not a curated record.